This 1236-nucleotide ribosomal RNA is filed under the name Triticum aestivum (bread wheat). Its description in RNAcentral is "partial small subunit ribosomal RNA". Lineage: Eukaryota; Viridiplantae; Streptophyta; Magnoliopsida; Poales; Poaceae. The record is from RNAcentral.
AUGCAAACACCGCCCCGAAGGCCAAGAUUGCCGACUCGCCGGAUCCACCUCGACAGCGACUCCACUGCAUCGUCGGAUCCACGAGCUCGUCGCGAUCAGCGCCAAGUUCUUCAUGAUCGACAACAAGAGGACGCUCGAACCCGCAUCGAGCGCCGAAGAGAAGCGCGGCGUCAAUCCGACAAGCGCGCUGGGCCCUCUGUUGACAUGCAUGCGCCAGGGGAACUAGGCGAUCUGCCGUACGCGGUAGGUUGUCCUGCGUUCACUCGUGACCUGCGGCAAGUCCAGUGGCCCAGUACAAAGAACUUCAAGCCAGACGUACCGGAGAAGUACGACGGCAAGACGCAUCCGUCAGAGUUCCUCAGCAUCUACACCAUUGCGGCGCAAGCUGCCGGGGGACGAGAUGACAAGAUCCUUGCCAACUACUUCCCGCUGGUGCUCAAGCCCAAUGUCAGAUCCUGGCUCGUGCACUUGCCGGACAACUCCAUAUCCUCUUGGGCUGAUCUGUGCCAUCAGUUUGUCGGCGCCUUUACAGGCGGACACAAGCCUCAUGGCCAGGAGAGUGAUCUUCAUCUGCUCGCCCAGAAGGAAGGAGAGCCCCUGCGCAAGUACAUUCAGAGAUUCAGUAGCGUGCAGCACAACAUCUCAGACGUCCACCCUGCCGCGGUGAUCAGCGCAUUCCAUCAGAACGUGCGGAACCGCAGCAUGCGGGAGGAAAUGGCGAUGUGCAAGAUCAGGGACGUCAGUGAGUUAUAUGCACUGGCCGACAAGUGUGCGCGUGCUGAGGAAGGGAGGAGACUCCCCGGAGAAAAUAUAGGAGCGGGAGGAUCUGACAGCGAAGAUGCCGCCCCGACAAGGAAAAACCGUCGGCGGAACAACAGAAGGAGGAAAGGCAAAGAAGUGCUAGUUGUUGAGCAGUCCGGCAACGGUGGCGGCGCCAAGGAAGCCAAAGCUGGUGACUCCGGCAAGGAGGUUGCCGCGGAGGUGGCGGUCGCCGACAAGCAAGACGGCACCAGCAAGCAGUAUUGCAAAAUUCACCGCACCAAGGGCCAUGAUCUUCAGAACUGCAAGAGGGUCGAGCAGCUUGUUGAGCAACAUAGAGCUGAAUACGAGCGGCGCGACAAAGAGAAGGACCAGGAAGGAGCUGGUGGGUCCGGCAAGAAACGUCCCGGCCGAGGAGGACGCCGCGGCAAGGCAGCGGCAAGGAGACAGACCUCCUCGAGGCCGCGACAAGGAUGA